Molecule: ribosomal RNA, 253 nt
Filed under: uncultured bacterium
Lineage: Bacteria
Description: partial 16S ribosomal RNA
Rfam family: Bacterial small subunit ribosomal RNA
Source: RNAcentral
UACGUAGGGGGCAAGCGUUGUCCGGAUUUAUUGGGCGUAAAGAGCGUGUAGGCGGCCAGGUAGGUCUGUUGUGAAAACUCGAGGCUCAACCUCGAGACGCCGAUGGAAACCAUCUGGCUAGAGUCCGGAAGAGGAGAGUGGAAUUCCCGGUGUAGCGGUGAAAUGCGCAGAUAUCGGGAAGAACACCCGUGGCUAAGGCGAGUCUCUGGACAGCAACUGACGCUGAGGCACGAAGGCCAGGGGAGCAAACGGG